This is a long non-coding RNA of Dicentrarchus labrax (European seabass), 619 nucleotides long. RefSeq lists it as uncharacterized. NCBI's taxonomy places the organism in Eukaryota, Metazoa, Chordata, Actinopteri, Moronidae. The record is from RefSeq and is a predicted model, not a curated record. The transcript has 4 exons.
AUUAGAGACAGGGGGUAAAUAUUAGAGACAGGGGGUAAAUAUUAGAGACAGAGGGGUAAAUAUUAGAGACAGAGGGUAAAUAUUAGAGACAGGGGGUAAUAUUAGAGACAGGGGGUAAUAUUAGAGACAGAGGGGUAAAUAUGAGAGACAGAGAGGUAAAUAUUAGAGACAGAGGGUAAAUAUUAGAGACAGGGGGUAAAUAUUAGAGACAGAGGGGUAAAUAUUAGAGACAGGGGGUAAAUAUUAGAGACAGAGGGUAAUAUUAGAGACAGAGGGGUAAAUAUUAGAGACAGAGGGUAAUAUUAGAGACAGAGGGUAAAUAUUAGAGACAGGGUAAUAUUAGAGACAGGGGGGUAAAUAUUAGAGACAGAGGGUAAAUAUUAGAGACAGAGGGGUAAAUAUUAGAGACAGAGGGUAAAUAUUAGAGACAGGGGGGUAAAUAUUAGAGACAGAGGGUAAUAUUAGAGACAGAGGGGUAAAUAUUAGAGACAGGGGUAAAUAUUAGAGACAGGGGCUAAUAUUAGAGACAGGGGGUAAAUAUUAGAGACAGAGGGGUAAAUAUUAGAGACAGGGGGGUAAAUAUUAGAGACAGGGGGUAAAUAUUAGAGACAGGGGGUAA